This 1366-nucleotide ribosomal RNA is filed under the name uncultured bacterium. RNAcentral describes it as "bacterial SSU rRNA". It matches the Rfam family "Bacterial small subunit ribosomal RNA", at positions 28 to 1387 of the family's 1533-position model. The record is from RNAcentral.
GAUGAACGCUAGCUACAGGCUUAACACAUGCAAGUCGAGGGGCAGCAUGGUCUUAUCUUGCUAAGGCCGAUGGCGACCGGCGCACGGGUGAGUAACACGUAUCCAACCUGCCGUCUACUCUUGGACAGCCUUCUGAAAGGAAGAUUAAUACAAGAUGGCAUCAUGAGUCCGCAUGUUCACAUGAUUAAAGGUAUUCUGGUAGACGAUGGGGAUGCGUUCCAUUAAAUAGUAGGCGGGGUAACGGCCCACCUAGUCUUCGAUGGAUAGGGGUUCUGAGAGGAAGGUCCCCCACAUUGGAACUGAGACACGGUCCAAACUCCUACGGGAGGCAGCAGUGAGGAAUAUUGGUCAAUGGGCGCAGGCCUGAACCAGCCAAGUAGCGUGAAGGAUGACUGCCCUAUGGGUAGUAAACUUCUUUUAUAAAGGAAUAAAGUCGGGUAUGCAUACCCGUUUGCAUGUACUUUAUGAAUAAGGAUCGGCUAACUCCGUGCCAGCAGCCGCGGUAAUACGGAGGAUCCGAGCGUCAUCCGGAUUUAUUGGGUUUAAAGGGAGCGUAGAUGGAUGUUUAAGUCAGUUGUGAAAGUUUGCGGCUCAACCGUAAAAUUGCAGUUGAUACUGGAUAUCUUGAGUGCAGUUGAGGCAGGCGGAAUUCGUGGUGUAGCGGUGAAAUGCUUAGAUAUCACGAAGAACUCCGAUUGCGAAGGCAGCCUGGUAAGCUGCAACUGACAUUGAGGCUCGAAAGUGUGGGUAUCAAAGGAGGAUUAGAUACCCUGGUAGUCCACACGGUAAACGAUGAAUACUCGCUGUUUUGCGAUAUACGGCAAGCGGCCAAGCGAAAGCGUUAAGUAUUCCACCUGGGGAGUACGCCGGCAACGGUGAAACUCAAAGGAAUUGACGGGGGCCCGCACAAGCGGAGGAACAUGUGGUUUAAUUCGAUGAUACGCGAGGAACCUUACCCGGGCUUAAAUUGCAGAUGAAUUACGGUGAAAGCCGUAAGCCGCAAGGCAUCUGUGAAGGUGCUGCAUGGUUGUCGUCAGCUCGUGCCGUGAGGUGUCGGCUUAAGUGCCAUAACGAGCGCAACCCUUGUUGUCAGUUACUAACAGGUUCCGCUGAGGACUCUGACAAGACUGCCAUCGUAAGAUGUGAGGAAGGUGGGGAUGACGUCAAAUCAGCACGGCCCUUACGUCCGGGGCUACACACGUGUUACAAUGGGGGGUACAGAGGGCCGCUACCACGCGAGUGGAUGCCAAUCCCAAAAACCUCUCUCAGUUCGGACUGGAGUCUGCAACCCGACUCCACGAAGCUGGAUUCGCUAGUAAUCGCGCAUCAGCCACGGCGCGGUGAAUACGUUCCCGGGCCUUGCACA